RNAcentral lists this transfer RNA (82 nucleotides) under Planctomyces sp. RNAcentral's name for it is "tRNA-Leu". It matches the Rfam family "tRNA". Rfam says of the family: Transfer RNA (tRNA) molecules are approximately 80 nucleotides in length. Lineage: Bacteria; Pseudomonadati; Planctomycetota; Planctomycetia; Planctomycetales; Planctomycetaceae. The record is from RNAcentral. RNAcentral also lists the same sequence under 1 other name.
GCGGGAGUGGCGAAAUUGGCAGACGCGCCAGACUUAGGAUCUGGUGCCGCAAGGCGUGUGGGUUCGAGUCCCUCCUCCCGCA